Molecule: ribosomal RNA, 411 nt
Filed under: Actinomycetes bacterium
Lineage: Bacteria; Bacillati; Actinomycetota; Actinomycetes
Description: Actinobacteria bacterium partial 16S ribosomal RNA
Rfam family: Bacterial small subunit ribosomal RNA
Source: RNAcentral
UGGGGAAUAUUGCACAAUGGGCGCAAGCCUGAUGCAGCGACGCCGCGUGGGGGAUGACGGCCUUCGGGUUGUAAACUCCUUUCGCUAGGGACGAAGCUUUUUGUGACGGUACCUAGAUAAGAAGCACCGGCUAACUACGUGCCAGCAGCCGCGGUAAUACGUAGGGUGCGAGCGUUGUCCGGAAUUACUGGGCGUAAAGGGCUCGUAGGUGGUUUGUCGCGUCGUCUGUGAAAUUCCGGGGCUUAACUCCGGGCGUGCAGGCGAUACUGGCAUAACUUGAGUACUGUAGGGGUAACUGGAAUUCCUGGUGUAGCGGUGAAAUGCGCAGAUAUCAGGAGGAACACCGAUGGCGAAGGCAGGUUACUGGGCAGUUACUGACGCUGAGGAGCGAAAGCAUGGGUAGCGAACAGG